This 301-nucleotide ribosomal RNA is filed under the name uncultured bacterium. Its description in RNAcentral is "partial 16S ribosomal RNA". It matches the Rfam family "Bacterial small subunit ribosomal RNA", at positions 510 to 808 of the family's 1533-position model. The record is from RNAcentral.
AGCAGCCGCGGUAAUACGUAGGGCGCAAGCGUUAUCCGGAAUUAUUGGGCGUAAAGAGCUCGUAGGCGGUUUGUCGCGUCUGCCGUGAAAGUCCGGGGCUCAACCCCGGAUCUGCGGUGGGUACGGGCAGACUAGAGUGAUGUAGGGGAGACUGGAAUUCCUGGUGUAGCGGUGAAAUGCGCAGAUAUCAGGAGGAACACCGAUGGCGAAGGCAGGUCUCUGGGCAUUAACUGACGCUGAGGAGCGAAAGCAUGGGGAGCGAACAGGAUUAGAUACCCGCGUAGUCCCUGUCUCUUAUACA